GACGAACCGUGCGAACGUUGUUCGGAUUCACUGGGCUUAAAGGGCGCGUAGGCGGGCGGUCAAGUCGGGGGUGAAAUCUUUCAGCUCAACUGGAAAAGUGCCUUCGAUACUGACGGUCUGGAGGAAGGUAGGGGCAUGCGGAACUUCCGGUGGAGCGGUGAAAUGCGUAGAUAUCGGAAGGAACACCGAUGGCGAAAGCAGCGUGCUGGACCUUUUCUGACGCUGAGGCGCGAAAGCCAGGGGAGCAAACGGG
RNAcentral lists this ribosomal RNA (253 nucleotides) under uncultured bacterium. RNAcentral describes it as "partial 16S ribosomal RNA". It matches the Rfam family "Bacterial small subunit ribosomal RNA", at positions 524 to 776 of the family's 1533-position model. The record is from RNAcentral.